GUCCUGUAGCUCACGAACAUGAUGAUUAGGUGUUCACGCGCAUGUGUGGGAUGUGCCACCCUCUGACUUUGUUACAAUGUUGGCAUAUCCUGGACCUGAUC
Saimiri boliviensis boliviensis (Bolivian squirrel monkey) is the source of this 101-nucleotide small nucleolar RNA. RefSeq annotates it as small nucleolar RNA U13. The record is from RefSeq and is a predicted model, not a curated record. Lineage: Eukaryota; Metazoa; Chordata; Mammalia; Primates; Cebidae.